AAUACCAAAAUUUCCGAUUUCACCCUCCAUCAAUCAUCACCGACACAACUAACCCUUAGGUUUCCGAUGAUCUCAAAAUCAAGUAUUCAAUGCCCUUAAUGUCAAAUUUUAGCGGAACCGGGACCGGAACCGCCGGUUUAGAUCACUUGAUAUUCCGGUUUGCCAGCUCAGCAGCCACGUGUCAUGGGUUCUGGCGUGAUGUGGCACUUGUAUUGCCGUCGGCUUUGUUUGUAGUGUACUUAGGGUUUCAUGGUAGGAGCAAUGUUAAGAAGCUUAGUCAUCGUCGGUCGUAUGUUAUGAUUGGAUACUAUGGUGUUUUAUGGUUUGCUGCUCUUUUAAAUCUUGCUUGGUGCUUUCUUCAGGUAUGGCAGUGCACUCCAGGGAAGCAGGUGGCUUGGAUUGUUCUGUCAAUGUUUGCAACGUCUUCAAUGUUAUUUCUGGAGAUUAGCAUAGUGGCGUUCUUACUUAGGGAGAACUAUGCGAGCUGUUUGGAGACUUUAGCACGUACAUUCAUGGUUUCAGGUCUUUUUGUUGGCGUGGAUUUACUGUUAAAGGUAAUUUUCAUAUUUGGAUUUGGUGUUCCGCUUUUCCUUGACGUGGAAAUAGCUGAUAGGGGGAAGUGGGGCGUCUGGUUCACCCACAAGCUGCUUCUUGUUACAGCUUAUGGCUACAUAUUAUUUGUGCAUUUCUCUAAGUGGAGAGAUAAGCUGCCCCCACGACCAGCCUUCUACAAUUAUGUCAUUGUCAUGUUUGCAGCAACUGCUGUGAUGUUAUUUGCCUGUGGGCUUGCAGGCAUUGGGGCUCACUUUGGACUUUGGUUGUAUAAUUUGGCAGUAGUUUGUUAUCACUCCCUUUAUCUUCCUUUUCUUUAUGUAACUUUCCUGGCUGAUUUUUUCAAGGAGGAAGAUUGGCUUCUGGACAGUGCAUACUACUCAGAGAUGAAGGAUGCAGGAUUUUUUGAUGCAGACUGGGAGUAAGCUUGUAAAACUGGUAGAAAAAUAAGCCAUUCGACUGUGUAAUUGUAAAUAUUAACUGGCAGCAGAGGCGGAUCCAGGAUUUAAAUUUUAUGGGUUCAAUCUAUCGAUUUUUAGCAUUGAACCCAUUAUAUUUUUAAAGUUAGGGGUUCAUAUCUA
RNA transcript from Lycium ferocissimum, 1133 nucleotides. It is a transcript of the gene named protein CANDIDATE G-PROTEIN COUPLED RECEPTOR 2-like, with no coding region annotated. The record is from RefSeq and is a predicted model, not a curated record. NCBI's taxonomy places the organism in Eukaryota, Viridiplantae, Streptophyta, Magnoliopsida, Solanales, Solanaceae. The transcript has 7 exons.